This 265-nucleotide signal recognition particle RNA is filed under the name candidate division WS1 bacterium. RNAcentral describes it as "signal recognition particle sRNA large type". It matches the Rfam family "Bacterial large signal recognition particle RNA". Rfam says of the family: The signal recognition particle (SRP) is a universally conserved ribonucleoprotein involved in the co-translational targeting of proteins to membranes. Archaeal SRP consists of a 7S RNA and homologues of the eukaryotic SRP19 and SRP54 proteins. The record is from RNAcentral. Lineage: Bacteria; Bacillati.
CCGCGCUAGACGGGAAGCUGGCGGUAUCCUGCACCCUCAAUCCGCCAUAGAGGGGUAUCAAUUCCCACUAGAGGUCUCGUCGUCAAGGGUCUGCCUCAGACGGGCGGUGUUGAAGGCCGGGCCCCGCGCAAGUGAGCCCUGCCGAAUCCCGUCAGGUCCGAGAGGAAGCAGCGGUAGGCGGUCAGCUCGCUGUGCCGCGGAUCGCCUGGCCCGAGCAUGCUAUCUGAGUAACGCCUGGGCGCCGUUAUCGAAGGUGGGUGCGCGG